GGGGGGUACAAAUAGACCAAGAGUAGCAGCAUGUUAGCGUACACCAUCCGGAAUCUGUAGUUUUCAGUCCAACAGAGGGUUGUAAAUAGGAACAAUGAGUUUCGACAGUUUUCUCAUAUCACAUGCAUGAAACGUCCUAACUAUAAUUUUCUAUACUACAUGUAUAAAUCAUUCAUCAAAAAUCUCAUUUCACAUUUAUAUU
RNAcentral lists this long non-coding RNA (202 nucleotides) under Mytilus galloprovincialis (Mediterranean mussel). The record is from RNAcentral. Lineage: Eukaryota; Metazoa; Mollusca; Bivalvia; Mytilida; Mytilidae.